This is a non-coding RNA of Paramuricea clavata, 1110 nucleotides long. Lineage: Eukaryota; Metazoa; Cnidaria; Anthozoa; Malacalcyonacea; Plexauridae. The record is from the annotation of a GenBank genome assembly.
GCUGUCAAAGGCAGCAUUACUGCCCUGUGGGUAACCUAGUAUGAUAUUAAUAGCCGUCUUCGUUGCACUUUCCUCCUGCUUGUCGAGGUUUUGUUAAAACAAUAGUUAUUUAUAAUUAUAAAAGUGUAAAAUUUAAGCCUGUUUUUUCGUCACGUUCCCGUACUAGAAUAACUAGUACGGGGACAAAAUUGCGAUGCAUGAUAGCAAUACAUCCUCUUCGUUUAUAUGAUGUAUAUCAUCGUCCGGUUGUCCAUGAAUCUAUGAUGCACUUUUAUGUAUGUGUAUUAUCAUACAAACCGGCAUAUUGAUAAUCGGCAUAAUCUGACCCUCACCCCGCUCCCCACUCCUAACCGCAGCACCUAACUCCUCACCCUGUGGCUCUGUGCGCUUAGUUGUAAAUCAGGAUGGGGGAGGGGGAUUAGCCCGUGUGUUUAAUUAAGUAAAAAUUUUCCAAUCUUCUCAAAAGCAAAGACAAAAUUCUCUGCGUUUUCGGAAACGAAUUUUCAAAUAUAUCCUAUAAACAUGGAUGCAUCCAGUGAAUCAAGCAUUUCCCAUUGCCCAUUUCCCUCGUGUUCAGAAAGAUUUUCUCAUGCUUGUAUAAAUAUAUGGUUGAUGCAUUAUUAAGAUGUCCCCGACAUGACAUUUAUUAGCGAGCUUGAGCAAGGGACGUUUUUGUCAACAUUCACCUUUUUGCCCGCGCGUCUCUCCUCCGCCCGAUUUUCACCUUUGAGCUUUUAAUAGGCGAAAAAAAUAAAGGCCCGACAUUCACGUUAACACGGACGUCACCCGAAAAUGGCAUCUAAUUUUGGUAGCAUUUUGCAUCAUAGCGCUCGUGUAAGGAAGCAAAAAACUUUAAAAUCAUCUUGCAUUUUGUCAGAUGUGUUAAAGAUUAAUCAUCUUGCAUUUUGUCAGAUGUGUUAAAGAUUACCUUGACGUCACAAACUGAUACAAACACAGUUUUUUAAUCCAGUCCUCCUUGAGCUCAGUGGUAGUUGACAAUCGCAAGAUAAAAGAUGUUUGCAUUGAUGCAUGGACGUUCUUUUGACCAAAUUCAACUAACACUUAUCCAGCACAUCUUUUUGGGCAACAAUCUUGAUAAUAUUGACAAAC